RNAcentral lists this transfer-messenger RNA (354 nucleotides) under Planctomycetaceae. RNAcentral's name for it is "SXXK01 sp903858815 Standard tmRNA". It matches the Rfam family "transfer-messenger RNA". From Rfam's summary of the family: Bacterial tmRNA, also known as 10Sa RNA or SsrA, is named for its dual tRNA and mRNA-like properties. Its role is to liberate the mRNA from a stalled ribosome. Lineage: Bacteria; Pseudomonadati; Planctomycetota; Planctomycetia; Planctomycetales. RNAcentral also lists the same sequence under 1 other name. The record is from RNAcentral.
GGGGGCGAUCGGAUUUGACUGGGUUACCGGGGAUCAGGGUGGCGUGCCGAGGUUGAUCAGUUGGCCUCGUAAAAAGCUGAUCACCAAUAACUGCAAAACCGCAGUUUUCUCUUGCUGCCUGAUUCAGGCUGCACCGACCUAAGGAUCCCCGCCUAAGGAGCCGACCGUUGGACGCAAAUUUGGGCUGGCAUCAGUUCACUGUCUACUACGGCUGAUGCAAGAUUUGUUGCGGACUGGUGUCGGAUGGUCUUGUUCGUGGAACCUCUCCGGCACGACUUAAUCAACGAACUACGCACGUAGAGGCUUUGGUUCAGGAGCAACAGGACGGGGGUUCAAUUCCCCCCGCCUCCAUUU